ACGGGUGAGUAACGCGUGGGAAUCUACCUAGUUCUACGGAACAACACACGGAAACUUGUGCUAAUACCGUAUACGCCCUACGGGGGAAAGAUUUAUCGGAAUUACAUGAGCCCGCGUAAGAUUACCUAGUUGGUGGGGUAAUGGCCUACCAAGGCGACGAUCUUUAGCUGGUCUGAGAGGAUGAUCAGCCACACUGGGACUGAGACACGGCCCAGACUCCUACGGGAGGCAUCACUGGGGAAUAUUGAACAAUGGGCGCAUGCCUGAUCCAGCCAUGCCGCGGGAGUGAUGAAGGCCUUAGGGUUGUAAAGCUCUUUCGUUAUGGAAGAUAAUGACGGUACCUACAGAAGAAGCCCCGGCUAACUUCGUGCCAGCAGCCGCGGUAAUACGAAGGGGGCUAGCGUUGUUCGGAUUUACUGGGCGUAAAGCGCACGUAGGCGGAUUGUUAGUCCCGGGGGUAAAAUCCUGGAGCUCAACUCCAGAACUGCCUUCGAUACUGGCAAUCUCGAGUCCGGAAGAGGUGAGUGGAACUCCUAGUGUAGAGGUGGAAUUCGUAGA
RNAcentral lists this ribosomal RNA (558 nucleotides) under Rhizobiales bacterium BvORHM056. RNAcentral describes it as "bacterial SSU rRNA". It matches the Rfam family "Bacterial small subunit ribosomal RNA", at positions 102 to 694 of the family's 1533-position model. The record is from RNAcentral. Lineage: Bacteria; Pseudomonadati; Pseudomonadota; Alphaproteobacteria; Hyphomicrobiales.